RNAcentral lists this ribosomal RNA (492 nucleotides) under uncultured bacterium. Its description in RNAcentral is "partial 16S ribosomal RNA". It matches the Rfam family "Bacterial small subunit ribosomal RNA", at positions 29 to 507 of the family's 1533-position model. The record is from RNAcentral.
AGUGAACGCUGGCGGUAGGCCUAACACAUGCAAGUCGAACGGCAGCACAGUAAGAGCUUGCUCUUACGGGUGGCGAGUGGCGGACGGGUGAGGAAUACAUCGGAAUCUACUUUUUCGUGGGGGAUAACGUAGGGAAACUUACGCUAAUACCGCAUACUACCUACGGGUGAAAGCAGGGGAUCUUCGGACCUUGCGUGAUUGAAUGAGCCGAUGUCGGAUUAGCUAGUUGGCUGGGUAAAGGCCCACCAAGGCGACGAUCCGUAGCUGGUCUGAGAGGAUGAUCAGCCACACUGGAACUGAGACACGGUCCAGACUCCUACGGGAGGCAGCAGUGGGGAAUAUUGGACAAUGGGCGCAAGCCUGAUCCAGCAAUACCGCGUGGGUGAAGAAGGCCUUCGGGUUGUAAAGCCCUUUUGUUGGGAAAGAAAAGCAGCAGGUUAAUACCCCGCUGUUCUGACGGUACCCAAAGAAUAAGCACCGGCUAACUUCGUG